This 466-nucleotide ribosomal RNA is filed under the name uncultured bacterium. Its description in RNAcentral is "partial 16S ribosomal RNA". It matches the Rfam family "Bacterial small subunit ribosomal RNA", at positions 29 to 507 of the family's 1533-position model. The record is from RNAcentral.
AGUGAACGCUGGCGGUAGGCCUAACACAUGCAAGUCGAACGGCAGCACAGUAAGAGCUUGCUCUUACGGGUGGCGAGUGGCGGACGGGUGAGGAAUACAUCGGAAUCUACUUUUUCGUGGGGGAUAACGUAGGGAAACUUACGCUAAUACCGCAUACGACCUACGGGUGAAAGCAGGGGAUCUUCGGACCUUGCGCGAUUGAAUGAGCCGAUGUCGGAUUAGCUAGUUGGCGGGGUAAAGGCCCACCAAGGCGACGAUCCGUAGCUGGUCUGAGAGGAUGAUCAGCAACACUGGACUGAGACACGGCCCAGACUCCUACGGGAGGCAGCAGUGGGGAAUAUUGGACAAUGGGCGAAAGCCUGAUCCAGCAAUGCCGCGUGAGUGAUGAAGGCCUUAGGGUUGUAAAGCUCUUUUACCCGGGAUGAUAAUGACAGUACCGGGAGAAUAAGCUCCGGCUAACUCCGUG